UUGCGAUUAGAGUUUGAUCCUGGCUCAGAAUCAACGCUGGCGGCGUGCCUCAGACAUGCAAGUCGAACGCGAAAGUUCCCUUCGGGGAGCGAGUAGAGUGGCGCACGGGUGAGUAACACGUAGGUAAUCUACCUUUGGAUGGGGAAUAACAACCGGAAACGGUUGCUAAUACCGCAUAAUGCAGCGGCACCUAAUGGUGACAGUUGUUAAAGCGGGGGAUCGCAAGACCUCGCGUCUGAAGAGGAGCCUGCGGCAGAUUAGCUAGUUGGUAAGGUAACGGCUUACCAAGGCGAUGAUCUGUAGCCGGCCUGAGAGGGCGGUCGGCCACACUGACACUGACAUACGGGUCAGACUCCUACGGGAGGCAGCAGUCGGGAAUUUUGGGCAAUGGGCGAAAGCCUGACCCAGCAACGCCGCGUGAAGGAUGAAA
This 430-nucleotide ribosomal RNA is filed under the name uncultured Acidobacteriota bacterium. Its description in RNAcentral is "bacterial SSU rRNA". It matches the Rfam family "Bacterial small subunit ribosomal RNA", at positions 1 to 413 of the family's 1533-position model. Lineage: Bacteria; Pseudomonadati; Acidobacteriota. The record is from RNAcentral.